AUACAAUUUUAGCUUGUUACCAAAUGAAAGGAAAGGACAUUAUUGGCAAGGAUUGAUAUUACUGGUGAACAUGUAUGUCAUGUAGGUGUGAAUGCCCUGCAAAACAGACCUGAUAUCAAAGUAAGUUCAUCUGUAGAAUUGCAGUUAAUUUAAAUAAUUUUAUGUUAUCUACCUAAAACUGUUUCAAGUUUAAUUGUACAUGUACAGUGUUGCUUAUUUUUCUCACUUUCUGAUUCAAUGCUUGCAUUAAGCCUUACUCUGCUCGCCUCCUUCUGCUCCAUACACACACACUUGAGAUGUCAGAAAAUUCAGACUAUCAUAGCAUUUACAUUACAAACUUACCUAGUCAGACUGGCCAAUAUUAUGUUUUGAAAAGUUAACGUUGUUAUUUAGAAAACAUAAAAUAUUUGCCACUGGACAUUCAAAUAAGCAAAAAAAAAAACCGACCAGUUAAUGAUUUUGCAUUAACAGAAUGAAUUUGCAAACAUAUAACAAUUAGCUUAUGUAAUUCAUGGAAGUUAGAUUUUAUAUUCUUUUAUGAAUAUUUUAUUUCAGUUACCAUCACAGUGAACAUGGUGAAGAAUAACCAAUACCAUGAAUACAGGACACAGAAGACUACCUCACAAACUUGGGAAUUUUACAAAAAAUAGAACGUUUAAAUUUACAAAGAAGAC
Molecule: long non-coding RNA, 674 nt
Filed under: Mytilus galloprovincialis (Mediterranean mussel)
Lineage: Eukaryota; Metazoa; Mollusca; Bivalvia; Mytilida; Mytilidae
Source: RNAcentral